GCGAAAGUUGGCCUAAUGCCCUAUGUAGUCGUUUGAUCGCCUGAGAUUUCGACGAAAGAUUUAUCGGUAUUGGAUGGGGGAUGCGUCUGAUUAGCUUGUUGGCGGGUAAAGGCCCACCCAAGGCAACGAUCCAGUAGGGGUUCUGAGAGGAAGGUCCCCCACAUUGGAACUGAGACACGGUCCAAACUCCUACGGGAGGCAGCAGUGAGGAAUAUUGGUCAAUGGGCGAGAGCCUGAACCAGCCAAGUAGCGUGCAGGAUGACGGCCCUAUGGGUUGUAAACUGCUUUUGUUUGGGAAUAAUCGACAUUACGUGUAAUGUUUUGCAUGUACCAUUCGAAUAAGGACCGGCUAAUUCCGUGCCAGCAGCCGCGGUAAU
RNAcentral lists this ribosomal RNA (377 nucleotides) under uncultured Prevotella sp. RNAcentral's name for it is "bacterial SSU rRNA". It matches the Rfam family "Bacterial small subunit ribosomal RNA", at positions 151 to 524 of the family's 1533-position model. Lineage: Bacteria; Pseudomonadati; Bacteroidota; Bacteroidia; Bacteroidales; Prevotellaceae. The record is from RNAcentral.